Pelobates cultripes (western spadefoot toad) is the source of this 97-nucleotide non-coding RNA. NCBI's taxonomy places the organism in Eukaryota, Metazoa, Chordata, Amphibia, Anura, Pelobatidae. The record is from the annotation of a GenBank genome assembly.
AUAGGUGAGAGCGCUGGGUCGUGUGUGUGUGUGUGUGUGUGUGUGUGUACACACACACACACACACACACACACACACACACACACACACACACACC